Molecule: long non-coding RNA, 412 nt
Filed under: Chinchilla lanigera (long-tailed chinchilla)
Lineage: Eukaryota; Metazoa; Chordata; Mammalia; Rodentia; Chinchillidae
Description: lncRNA (ENSCLAG00000028832.1)
Source: RNAcentral
GAAUAACUCAAAAAAUCAUGGUGGAGAGGCCCAUGUGUCUCUGCUUUCUGUCCAGAGGAGAGGAUGGAAUGUGUGUCAGCACGUCUGCAGCCAUCAAAAGGAUCACGGUUGUGCAAGGCAGUAUCAGGAGCAGCAUCACUAUGGACAUGCAAGACACAGACCCCAGUCGUCCAUCUGAGCCACGUCCUGUGCGGAAUACCAAGAUUAAUCAGUUCUAUAUUUAUGGGGGGCUCCAAGUGCUGUGUGGAGUGACGCUGACUGUGCUGUGGGCAGUAGUUAUUUCCAAUUCGUCUCGUUAUGAACUUUCUAUAAAACAAUUACACCCUGUGCUGCCCUACGUAUAUCUUUUGGCACCACUCAUUUAUGUCUCAUCAGGAAUUCUGACCAUUGUGUUUGGAAACACACAGAAUCA